This 143-nucleotide ribosomal RNA is filed under the name Candidatus Levybacteria bacterium RIFCSPHIGHO2_01_FULL_36_15. Lineage: Bacteria; Candidatus Levyibacteriota. RNAcentral also lists the same sequence under 1 other name. The record is from RNAcentral.
UUCGGUCUUUGGAGCGGAUUGGAACCACCUUUUCCUCGCCUCGCUGAGCAAUCGGCGAAGCGGGCCAUUCCGAACAGAGAAGUGAAACGGUCCAGCGCCCACGAUACUUUGCGUAUGCAGGGGAAAAUAGGUCAAGGCCGGGG